This 301-nucleotide ribosomal RNA is filed under the name uncultured bacterium. Its description in RNAcentral is "partial 16S ribosomal RNA". It matches the Rfam family "Bacterial small subunit ribosomal RNA", at positions 509 to 807 of the family's 1533-position model. The record is from RNAcentral.
CAGUCGCCGCGGUAAUACAGAGGGUGCAAGCGUUAAUCGGAAUUACUGGGCGUAAAGCGCGCGUAGGUGGUUUGUUAAGUUGGAUGUGAAAGCCCUGGGCUCAACCUGGGAAUUGCAGUGGAUACUGGGUCACUAGAGUGUGGUAGAGGAUAGUGGAAUUUCCGGUGUAGCAGUGAAAUGCGUAGAGAUCGGAAGGAACAUCUGUGGCGAAGGCGACUAUCUGGGCCAUUACUGACACUGAGGCACGAAAGCGUGGGGAGCAAACAGGAUUAGAUACCCCAGUAGUCCCUGUCUCUUAUAC